RNAcentral lists this ribosomal RNA (448 nucleotides) under uncultured bacterium. Its description in RNAcentral is "bacterial SSU rRNA". It matches the Rfam family "Bacterial small subunit ribosomal RNA", at positions 329 to 792 of the family's 1533-position model. The record is from RNAcentral.
UUCCAGACUCCUACGGGAGGCAGCAGUGGGGGAUAUUGCACAAUGGGGGAAACCCUGAUGCAGCGACGCCGCGUGGGCGAAGAAGUAUUUCGGUAUGUAAAGCCCUAUCAGCAGGGAAGAAGAAAUGACGGUACCUGAGUAAGAAGCACCGGCUAAAUACGUGCCAGCAGCCGCGGUAAUACGUAUGGUGCAAGCGUUAUCCGGAUUUACUGGGUGUAAAGGGAGCGCAGGCGGCACGGCAAGCCUGAUGUGAAAGCCCGCGGCCCAACCGCGGGACUGCAUUGGGAACUACCGGGCUGGAGUGCCGGAGAGGUAGGCGGAAUUCCUGGUGUAGCGGUGAAAUGCGUAGAUAUCAGGAGGAACACCAGUGGCGAAGGCGGCUUGCUGGACGAUGACUGACGUUGAGGCUCGAAAGCGUGGGGAGCAAACAGGAUUAGAUACCCGAGUA